This 422-nucleotide ribosomal RNA is filed under the name uncultured archaeon. RNAcentral's name for it is "bacterial SSU rRNA". It matches the Rfam family "Archaeal small subunit ribosomal RNA", at positions 459 to 880 of the family's 1478-position model. The record is from RNAcentral.
CAGCCGCCGCGGUAACCCCAGCGCCACAAGUGGGAAUCACUUUUAUUGGGUCUAAAGCAUCCGUAGCCGGUCUGGCAAAUGCCUUGUGAAAUCGAUGCGCUUAACGUAUCGGCGUGCAAGGUAGACUACCAGACUUGGGACCGGAAGAGGUGCGCGGUAUUCCUUGGGGAGCGGUAAAAUGUGAUAAUCCAAGGAGGACCACCGAUGGCGAAGGCAGCGCACUAGUACGGAUCCGACGGUGAGGGAUGAAAGCUAGGGGAGCGAUCCGGAUUAGAUACCCGAGUAGUCCUAGCCGUAAACGCUGUGAGCAAGGUAUUGCACUUCCCACGAGGACGUGCAGUGUCGAAACGAAGGUGUUAAGCUCACCACCAGGGAAGUACGGUCGCAAGGCUGAAACUUUAAGGAAUUGGCGGGGGGGAGCA